This is a long non-coding RNA of Thunnus maccoyii (southern bluefin tuna), 668 nucleotides long. RefSeq lists it as uncharacterized. The record is from RefSeq and is a predicted model, not a curated record. The transcript has 7 exons. Lineage: Eukaryota; Metazoa; Chordata; Actinopteri; Scombriformes; Scombridae.
GUGGCUGUAAGAAUUAUUCAAAUUAAAUGAUCUGAAUGCAGACAAGCAAUCAAAAGUAGCUUUGCUUUGUUUUAAAGCAACAGUUCAUCAUUAUGGAAAAGUGUUAGAAGUUCAGAUUGACUCCUCAUGUCUGAACGUCAUUAAAACAAACUCCAAACAUGUGACCCAGAGCUCUGCAGGACCAACAAAGUUAUCUGCAGUUUGGACACCUGAGCUUCACUGAAGAAGGCCAUGGGAAACUGUCAAAAGCCCCAGGAAAAGAUUGAAGAGCGAUAAUACAAACUGUCCAAUGAGAGCAAAUGAACAUUUAAAGAUGCAUUAAUUGAUGAUGGGAGAUAAACUCUUCAACAAACCAAAAAGCACUAAAAUCUUCAAAAUGCAUGAAUCAAACAUCUCCUGUCAUCUGCAGUUUGGACACCAGAGGGCCUCACAUGUCUGUCUGAUGAUUUAACUUCAUGAACAAAUGUCAGAGGACAAGAUGUAAAAAUAACUAUUCUUUAUUGAGAAACACAAGAAAAACAGAAUCAGAUGGAAGAAGAUCAGAAGAUGGAUUUCCUAAAACAUGAGGAGACGACUUUGCAGUUGUUCUCGGUGAAAUCUCGGCAGAUGCCUCGGACCAGCUGCGGGAUUAACUCGGCAAGGCCAGUGAACUCUCUGGUGAAGAAGGU